RNAcentral lists this ribosomal RNA (239 nucleotides) under uncultured bacterium. RNAcentral describes it as "partial 16S ribosomal RNA". It matches the Rfam family "Bacterial small subunit ribosomal RNA", at positions 333 to 589 of the family's 1533-position model. The record is from RNAcentral.
UAUAUCCUACGGGGGGCAGCAGUGGGGAAUAUUGCACAAUGGGGGAAACCCUGAUGCAGCGACGCCGCGUGAGUGAAGAAGUAUUUCGGUAUGUAAAGCUCUAUCAGCAGGGAAGAUAAUGACGGUACCUGACUAAGAAGCCCCGGCUCACUCCGUGCCAGCAGCCGCGGUAAUACGUAGGGGGCCAGCGUUAUCCGGAUUUACUGGGUGUAAAGGGAGCGUAGGUGGCCGGGCAAGUC